CUGGGCGGUCGCUCUGACAGCUAAGCUACUCUGUACCCGAGAUCUUAGGAAUUUGAUAUUUGUUAUCCAUCACUUAUUUAGACAAACUCGUUCUGUGCGGUGGGCGUCGCGCGUACUGCGCGUACAGGUUACGGACGCGUGCGGCGCGGCGCGGGCCAUCGCGCUGCUGGAACUGAUGCUGGCCAGACCCGGCGUGGAGACGGCUGUCGAGUGCAAUGAAGAGCUGGUGGAAGGUUGGGAAGAAGUGGGUAGGAGCGGGGAGGGGAGCGCGGUAGG
This is a long non-coding RNA of Papilio polytes (common Mormon), 276 nucleotides long. RefSeq lists it as uncharacterized. The record is from RefSeq and is a predicted model, not a curated record. NCBI's taxonomy places the organism in Eukaryota, Metazoa, Arthropoda, Insecta, Lepidoptera, Papilionidae. The transcript is spliced from 3 exons.